This 317-nucleotide unclassified non-coding RNA is filed under the name rhizosphere metagenome. RNAcentral describes it as "partial ribosomal RNA internal transcribed spacer region". The record is from RNAcentral.
GUAGGUGAACCUGCGGAAGGAUCAUUAACACAAAGCUUGUGUAUGCGCUGUGGCUUUACCGCUCUCGCACUACGCAUCUUUUCACCCCCCCUUUAUGCAAACGUGUUUUUCUAUACAGUCUUCCCGGGUGUAGUUUUCAGCUCCAAGUUUUUUUUUUGGGACUUUUAGCUGUGGCUAUGUCUGUGGUUUAACACCAAAAUACUAAACCCCCUUGAAUUUUUUUUUGACUGACAUCUGAGUCACUAAUUUAAUCGUUAGUGCCUCUGCCAUUAUAUUUUAACGCUGAACAACUCUUAGCAACGGAUAUCUUGGCUCUC